UGGACUCUACCUUGUGUCGAUAGCGUUCCACAUGGAUGCUGUUCCCCAUGUUGACUCCAAUGCUUCCCACAGUUGUGUCAAGUUGGCUGGAUGCCCAUUGGGUGGUGGACCAUUCUUGAUACACAAAGGGACUGUCGAGGGUGAAAAACCCAGCAGCGUUGCAGUUCUUGACACAAACUGGUGCGCCUGGCACCUACUACCAUACCCCCUGUUCAAAGGCACUUAAAUAUUUUGUCUUGCCAAUUCACCCUCUGAAUGGCACACACACACAAUCCACGUCUCGGUUGUGUCAAUGAUUAAAAAUCCUUCUUUAAUUAACCUUCAUCUACCCUGAUUGAAGUGGAUUUACCAGGUGACAUCAAUAAGGGAUCAUAGCUUUCACCUGGGUUCACCUGGUCAGUCUGUGUCAUGGAAAGAGCAGCUCAGUGUAAUAUAACAAUACUAUUAAUACUGCAGGUGUUCUUAAUGUUUUGUCCAAUCAGUGUAAUAUUACAAUACUAUUAUUACUGCAGGUGUUCUUAAUGCUUUGUCCAUUCAGUGUAAUAUUACAAUACUAUUAUUACUGCAGGUGUUCUUAAUGCUUUGUCCAUUCAGUGUAAUAUUACAAUACUAU
This 613-nucleotide long non-coding RNA is filed under the name Salmo salar (Atlantic salmon). RNAcentral describes it as "lncRNA (ENSSSAG00000088517.1)". The record is from RNAcentral. Lineage: Eukaryota; Metazoa; Chordata; Actinopteri; Salmoniformes; Salmonidae.